GCUGGGUGUGGUGGUGCACGCCCAUAAUCCCAGCUACUCGGGAAGCUGAGGUGGGAGAAUCACUUGAACCCAGGAGCUGGAGGUUGCAGUGAGCCGAGAUCACACCACUGCACUCCAGCCUGGGUGACAGAGUGAGGCUCCAUCUCAA
This 148-nucleotide non-coding RNA is filed under the name Homo sapiens (human). Lineage: Eukaryota; Metazoa; Chordata; Mammalia; Primates; Hominidae. The record is from Rfam by way of RNAcentral.